AGAGGAGAGGAGAGGAGAGGAGAUCACAAUUCCAUAGAGAGAGGGUGGGUUCAAUCAAGUGGUUGAGAAGAAGGGCAUUUGGUUGAUGGGUUGUGGGGGUUUUAAGAGGGAUAUUAUAGGGAUAAAAAGUCUCCUCUGUCAUUCAACUGUUGUUGACUAACAUAAUAUGCCACAAAACUUGAUAGGAAGGUUUAAGGUUUAGGGUUGACGAAAUCAAUAUAUAAGGAUGUAAUAAUUUGAUUUUCAAGAUACAGUUGAUCGACUGAUUAAUUAUGAUAAGGCUUAGAGACUAUUUUGUAAUUCACCAUAUGUUAGAUACAUGGUCAGUUAUUUUUGAGGCAUCAAAAUAUAGUGAGUAAGCUUUGGUGAAGGGACCACAAAUGUGAUUGCUGAAUCUAGUAAUUCUAUUAAGCAUAUGUUAGAUAUAUGGAGAAUGAUAUUUAUAUAAGCGCAGGCUUUUGAAAAAUUAUAUGAGAAACUUAGAACUAAA
Molecule: unclassified non-coding RNA, 490 nt
Filed under: Hevea brasiliensis (rubber tree)
Lineage: Eukaryota; Viridiplantae; Streptophyta; Magnoliopsida; Malpighiales; Euphorbiaceae
Source: RNAcentral